ACGCGUAGAUGCACACGUCCGUUGGGAACCCCAAGUGGAAGGUAUGAUGCGUAUAGAAGCAAGUUUCCCUCAGUAUGAAACCAAGGUUUAAUCGAACCAGUAGGAGCCAAGAAGCACGUUGAAGGUUGAUGGUGGCGAAAUGUGAUGCGGCGCAACAACAGGGAUUCCGGCGCCAACGUGGAAUCUGCACAACAAAACCAAAGUACUUUGCCCCAACGAAACAGUGAGGUUGUCAAUCUCACCGGCUUGCUGUAACAAAGGAUUAAGCGUAUCGAGUGGAAGAUGAUUGUUUGCAAGAAAACAGUAAAACACAAUUGCAGUAGAUUGUAUGCUAUGUAAAGAAUAGGACCGGGGUCCACAGUUCA
Non-coding RNA from Lolium perenne, 365 nucleotides. NCBI's taxonomy places the organism in Eukaryota, Viridiplantae, Streptophyta, Magnoliopsida, Poales, Poaceae. The record is from RefSeq and is a predicted model, not a curated record.